This 1901-nucleotide small RNA is filed under the name Pongo abelii (Sumatran orangutan). RNAcentral describes it as "processed transcript". Lineage: Eukaryota; Metazoa; Chordata; Mammalia; Primates; Hominidae. The record is from RNAcentral.
GCAAUCCUCGAAGGGGAGUCUCAGCGACCAUGGGGGGCACCAUCCACUAGAUGUCAGGCUGAAGGAGAUGAUGAAACUCUGCAAGCCCAAGAACAUGGGGAAAGAGGAGACACAGGAAGCAUUGUCAGUCUCUUACCCGGGUUUGGAGGGCACUGCCCUGCUCAGUCUGGGGGGAUGUGGUGACCCUCAGGAGGACAGCCUCCCCAGCGCCCAGGCCCUGUCCAGGCCCAGGAUGAAGGCUGCCUCAUCCUCAGGCCAGGGACCCCUGCCAGCCAGGCCACCCGCAACGGUGUGGGACGUGAGUGCCGUUGCCCCCGGCGGUCCAGCAGCAGGACAGCCCCCAGCAGCCUGGCCUAGGAGGCUCACCGCAGCCGUCAAGGGAUUCUGGGCCACCCGCCCUUCCUUCUCCACCUUCUACUUCAUCUUUGCCAUUUUUGUGGUGUCCACCAUCUUUCACUGCCACCAGCGCCUGGCUCUGGUGCCUGCGCCCUGGGCAUACUCAGCCCGUGUGGUCCUGGCCCCCAGACACCUCCCCCAGGAGGGCCUGUUCACUAUCAACUCCAAGGGCCGCCUGGGGAACCAGAUGGGUGGGUACGCCACGCUGUACGCCCUGGCCAAGAUGAACGGGCGGCCCGCCUUCAUCCCGGCCCAGAUGCACAGCACCCUGGCCCCCAUCUUCAGAAUCACCCUGCCGGUGCUGCACAGUGCCACGGCCAGCAGGAUCCCCUGGCAGAACUACCACCUGAACGACUGGAUGGAGGAGGAGUACCGCCACAUCCCGGGGCGCUAUGUCCGCCUCACGGGCUACCCCUGCUCCUGGACCUUCUACCACCACCUCCGCCACAAGAUCCUCCAGGAGUUCACCCUGCACGACCACGUGCGGGAGGAGGCCCAGAAGUUCCUGCGGGGCCUGCAGGCCAAGUGGGCAGGGCAGGCGACCUUCGUGGGGGUCCAUGUGCGUCGGGGGGACUAUGUCCGUGUCAUGCCGCGCGUAUGGAAGGGGGUGCUGGCCGACCGGGGCUACCUGCAGCGGGCCCUGGACUGGUUCCGGGCCCGCUGCCGCCUCCCGGUCUUUGUGGUCACCAGCGAUGAUAUGGCCUGGUGCCGGCAGAGCAUCAACAGCUCUCUUGGGGACGUGGUGUUCGCUGGCAAUGGCCUCCAGGGCUCACCUGCCAAAGACUUUGCGCUGCUCACACAGUGCAACCACACCAUCAUCACCGUGGGCACCUUCGGGGUCUGGGCCGCGUACCUCGCGGGCGGGGACACCGUCUACCUGGCCAACUUCACCCUGCCCAACUCCCCUUUCGACGUGGUCUUUAGGCCGCAAGCGGCCUUCCUGCCAGAGUGGGUGGGCCUUGCAGCUGACCUUGGACAGGCUGGACAGAACGGCCUCUAGCCAGCCCUCCCUGUGCCUGGCCCUCAUCCUCUGACCCGAGGGGCAGUGAGUGGGGUGUGCGGGGCAUGGACUCAAGGUCCCUCACGCAGUUUGGAUCCAGGCUUAUCUACUUCAUAGCUGAGUGAGUUUGGACAACUGACUCAACCUCUGUGCCUUAGUAUGUUAACCACAAAAUGCACAAACCACAGAAAUAAACACCAGUAGCAGCUGGUGGGAGCUGAGCAAAUUCGCUUAGAGCCAGUGCCUUAUGACCGUGUGGGAGGCGUCGGCUGCUCACAUGUAUGCAGCACGCCAGGAACAUUGGCAUUGCUUUACGAUGGAAAUGCAGUUUUGCCCUCUCCUUCCUAGCAGCACUGGUAGCACAGGGCCCAGAUAUUUUGCACUCAUGUCCUGGAGAGAAGCCAUCCCUGCCCUGAAGGAUAGGGGAACUCGAUUUUCUAGGCAACUAGGAAUUUUGGCUUCGGAGUUAGUGGGCCUUAUCACGAAAGAAUGUGAGGGAAGGGCC